UACGGAGGGUGCAAGCGUUAUCCGGAUUUACUGGGUUUAAAGGGUGCGUAGGCGGACUAUUAAGUCAAAUGUGAAAGCUUGCAGCUCAACUGUAAGAUUGCGUUUGAUACUGGUAGUCUUGAAUUUAGUAGAAGUGGGCGGAAUACAUCAUGUAGCGGUGAAAUGCUUAGAUAUGAUGUAGAACACCGAUUGCGAAGGCAGCUCGCUAUGCUAAUAUUGACGCUGAGGCACGAAAGCGUGGGGAUCAAACAGG
Molecule: ribosomal RNA, 253 nt
Filed under: uncultured bacterium
Lineage: Bacteria
Description: partial 16S ribosomal RNA
Rfam family: Bacterial small subunit ribosomal RNA
Source: RNAcentral